Molecule: long non-coding RNA, 286 nt
Filed under: Elaeis guineensis (African oil palm)
Lineage: Eukaryota; Viridiplantae; Streptophyta; Magnoliopsida; Arecales; Arecaceae
Description: long non-coding RNA (EGUI_LNC065586)
Source: RNAcentral
AGAAGAAUUUGUAGUUUACAAGCUCACCUUGUUUUGUUUCCAAAGGAAAAAAAAUGAAUGAAGGUCCUCAAUGAGCUGAAAUAAUCUUGCAUAGUUCAGUUCCACACAAAAUGUCUGAUAUGGGAUUCAAACUAGCCCAUUGAGUUGCACAGUUUCUUCAUGAUGAAUGCAUCAUGCAGGAAUAACUACUGAACUUGAAUGCAGAAACAUCGUCUGAAAUUCCAACUGAAUCUAUUUAUCCUGGAGUUAUCCACUAGCCUAGAGGAUGCAAGGCAUACUCACACAC